UAGUCCACGCCGUAAACGAUGAUUACUCGCUGUAGGCGAUACACAGUCUGUGGCUAAGCGAAAGUUUUAAGUAAUCCACCUGGGGAGUACGAUCGCAAGAUUGAAACUCAAAGGAAUUGACGGGGGCCCGCACAAGCGGAGGAACAUGUGGUUUAAUUCGAUGAUACGCGAGGAACCUUACCUGGACUUAAAUGUAGAUUGCAUAGAGUGGAGACAUUCUUUUCUUCGGACUAUUUACAAGGUGCUGCAUGGUUGUCGUCAGCUCGUGCCGUGAGGUGUCGGGUUAAGUCCCAUAACGAGCGCAACCCUUAUCCUUAGUUGCCAGCGGAUCAUGCCGGGGACUCUGAGGAGACUGCCACCGUAAGGUGUGAGGAAGGUGGGGAUGACGUCAAAUCAUCAUGGCCUUUAUGCCCAGGGCGACACACGUGCUACAAUGGUACAUACAGAGGGUUGCCAAGCCGCGAGGUGGAGCUAAUCCCAGAAGUGUAUCCCAGUUCGG
Molecule: ribosomal RNA, 499 nt
Filed under: uncultured bacterium
Lineage: Bacteria
Description: bacterial SSU rRNA
Rfam family: Bacterial small subunit ribosomal RNA
Source: RNAcentral